GAAAACUGCACCUGAAACCAAACCACCAUAGUGACAACAGGAUAUAUCAAAGAUGGCGAUACACGGUGGAAACCGCCGAGCCAAUCUCCACCAGCACUUUCAAAGAAACGUCUACAGAAGGGAAUAAAAACAACAUCAAGAUGAGAGCUAUCGAAUGGAUGUUUAUGAUGUCCAAACCUGCAGCUGGUUUCCCGUGGUGUCAGGAGGACAAGCAAAGUGCAUCUGCCCUCUAGGGCAAGAGAAUGCUGGCUGAAUGGAGAGCAGAACAUAACCGCUGCGUUGCCAAGGUAACAUGGAACAGUAAACCACCACGGAAAGAAAGGGAACGAGGGACGGGUGGAUGGCAGGACAGGUAGGAGUGAAAUAGGAGAUCGGUGGUCACCCUCUGCAUUCAAGUGCUCGGUGUGUGUAAUCACCCGUACGCCGAGGAUUUGAGGGAAACCCCGCUUCAAGGACACAAAAGAACGUGCUCCUCAAGGUGAAGAUCACAGUACAGUGUAGUUUGUCAUAUUGUGCGGAGUAAGAGCUUAGCUGAGUUUACGAUGAUCUUGUCCUUGAAGUGUGUUUUGAGUUCCUUUAUGUAGUGCAUGGUGUUUGUAUGUUGACUCAACAACUGUCAUAUUUGUAUGAGAUUUAACAUGGAUGAAUGAAUAUUUUACGACACUAAACUUAAGUCUUAAGGGGUUAAAGUCAACAUGAAAUGCACUUUGAAGCUCAUUUGACCUCCAUUAUCUGAUGUCAUUUCUGAGUGAAACAGGAUAUUCAAUGAGGAAACGCAUAGGGUGAGGCUGAUUUUAUCCAUUGGGAAUUGAUUGGACUAAGAAAAGUGGGCGUGACAUACCAGAAAUUACCAGAGCAGAGGGGCUGAAAUGUUGGAUUCAUAACGUCAUCCGGAAAGUUGUCAAAAACUAUUAGAAAGACAAUCCUUUUCUAAAAAUUGGAUUAGAAUGCACAGAGGAAUCAUGCACAUGAACACUAGGAAUGAAUAUUAUGAAAAUAUCCUGGGUUACACUUUAUUUAAGUCUUUUGUUACAAUGUAUUUAUAUAAGUACUGAGUAAUAAUAAUUAACUACAUGUACUUACUCUAGGGUUAGGGUGUGGUUUAGGAUUACUUGCAUGUGAUUAUGCAAAAUUUAUAGUAAACACCAUAGGGCAGUGGUUCUCAAACGUUUUCAUUGUAUGUAGAGUGUAUCGCUUUGCAGUCCCCAAAUAAAGACUUAUAAUCCUAAACUUAGAAUUUUUAUUAAACCAAAAACAUGUUCAGUUAUACAGUGGUUGGUGGUGGUCUUAUUUUUCUGAUGUUUGAUUGCUUAAAAUGUAUGAUAAAUUUCUAAAUUUCACAAAAUCUGUGCCCCCCCCGGAUCCAUCUUGGGGCCCCGGGUUUGAGAACCACUGCCAUAGGGUGAAUGAAAUAUUCUCACCAAAUUUUUGUUUUCUUUUUUGCAUAUAGUUUGUUGAAAAUCUGAUGGUCUUUGGAACUGAAGACUGGCGUGCACACAUAGCCCAUCCCUGCUUCAUGGUACAGCAAUCAAAGACAAAUUGAUCUCAUUGUACGGAGUGAAACUUGAUUAUUUACCAUUUAAUCCACUUCUUAAAUCAUUAAGGUCCAACCCCUGUCAUUUCAUUGGAUAAUAGAAAAUCCCACAAUUUACCUGAUAUGGCUUCUCUGUAGCGCUCUGGACUUUUUUUGUGAGUUAACUACAUAACCUUCAAGCAGGGUUGGACUUUUGCCAUUUCCUUUUUAGAAAUCAUUACAAAAACUGUCAUCCUAGUCACGAAGCUUGAAUUUAUCCUAAUAAUAGUGUACAUAUACAGUAACCUCCACUACAGCAGAUCUUGUGUGUUUGUAUAAAGUUGGUUAUUUAGUUUUGGAUCAACGGUUAUUCCU
This is a long non-coding RNA of Triplophysa rosa, 1888 nucleotides long. RefSeq lists it as uncharacterized. The record is from RefSeq and is a predicted model, not a curated record. The transcript has 3 exons. Lineage: Eukaryota; Metazoa; Chordata; Actinopteri; Cypriniformes; Nemacheilidae.